This 201-nucleotide ribosomal RNA is filed under the name Stenotrophomonas maltophilia. RNAcentral's name for it is "partial 23S ribosomal RNA". It matches the Rfam family "Bacterial large subunit ribosomal RNA", at positions 797 to 996 of the family's 2925-position model. Lineage: Bacteria; Pseudomonadati; Pseudomonadota; Gammaproteobacteria; Lysobacterales; Lysobacteraceae. The record is from RNAcentral.
GUAGGGGAUGAGGUGUGAUUAGGAGUGAAAAGCUAAUCGAACCCGGAGAUAGCUGGUUCUCCUCGAAAGCUAUUUAGGUAGCGCCUCAUAUGUAUCCUCUCGGGGGUAGAGCACUGUUAUGGCUAGGGGGUCAUCGCGACUUACCAAACCAUUGCAAACUCCGAAUACCGAGACGGACUGUAUGGGAGACACACGGCGGGU